RNAcentral lists this ribosomal RNA (253 nucleotides) under uncultured bacterium. Its description in RNAcentral is "partial 16S ribosomal RNA". It matches the Rfam family "Bacterial small subunit ribosomal RNA", at positions 524 to 776 of the family's 1533-position model. The record is from RNAcentral.
UACGUAGGUGGCGAGCGUUAUCCGGAAUUAUUGGGCGUAAAGAGCGCGCAGGUGGUUAAUUAAGUCUGAUGUGAAAGCCCACGGCUUAACCGUGGAGGGUCAUUGGAAACUGGUUGACUUGAGUGCAGAAGAGGGAAGUGGAAUUCCAUGUGUAGCGGUGAAAUGCGUAGAGAUAUGGAGGAACACCAGUGGCGAAGGCGGCUUCCUGGUCUGCAACUGACACUGAGGCGCGAAAGCGUGGGGAGCAAACAGG